GUUGAGUUCGUCCCAGUGGGGCUUUCUCUGUAGACCUACAUCACUGGAAAUGCCUCAUAGAGUAGAUGUGUGGUUUCCUUAAUUCACAGAACUACAUGUUAAAUCUGUGGGAAAGAACUACAAGACAUCU
Molecule: small nucleolar RNA, 130 nt
Organism: Zalophus californianus (California sea lion)
Lineage: Eukaryota; Metazoa; Chordata; Mammalia; Carnivora; Otariidae
Source: Ensembl